This 30-nucleotide non-coding RNA is filed under the name Mus musculus (house mouse). Lineage: Eukaryota; Metazoa; Chordata; Mammalia; Rodentia; Muridae. The record is from RNAcentral.
UAGGAAGUUGCCAGGCACUAAUUCCUCUGU